GAUUACUGUUGCACGGGAUGAUCGCGACAAGGAACCCCCAAUCCUGGAAAAGAUCAUUCUUUGAACGAAAGCGGGGUGGGUUUUUUUUUUUUUUUGACGAACUAAUGAAUCUUCAGCUGAUUGCUCGAGUGGUGUAUCGGAUGAACAUAUGAUCGAGGUAGGGUAGCGUAUUUUCGAUUGAGAAAUGCUAUGGCUGUUGAGACGGACACGACGAAUCCAGAAACCGGAGGAGAGAGGAGAAUAAUGAGAAGUGGAUUGUAUUGAGUUAAGGGGCUGUUU
Molecule: long non-coding RNA, 279 nt
Organism: Rhododendron vialii
Lineage: Eukaryota; Viridiplantae; Streptophyta; Magnoliopsida; Ericales; Ericaceae
Exons: 2
Source: RefSeq, a predicted model, not a curated record